This 226-nucleotide ribosomal RNA is filed under the name Thalassiosira oceanica. RNAcentral's name for it is "partial Eukaryotic large subunit ribosomal RNA". It matches the Rfam family "Eukaryotic large subunit ribosomal RNA", at positions 53 to 295 of the family's 3401-position model. The record is from RNAcentral. Lineage: Eukaryota; Bacillariophyta; Thalassiosirophyceae; Thalassiosirales; Thalassiosiraceae.
GAGGAAAAGAAACUAACAAGGAUUCCCUCAGUAAGGGCGACUGAAGCGGGAAAAGCCCAUGUUGCCAAACCUUCGGGUGUUGUGCCAUGCGUGUCUUGUGGAACUCCAGGAGUAAGUCCCUUGGAACAGGGUGCCAGAGAGGGUGACAGUCCCGUCUGCCUCUUGGGUGUUCCACUUGUAGACCGUGUAUCGGAGUCGUGUUGCUUGGGAUCCCAGCACAAAAUUG